GGCAGCCUACGGGGCGCAGCAGUGGGGAAUAUUGCACAAUGGGGGAAACCCUGAUGCAGCAACGCCGCGUGAGUGAAGAAGUCAUUCUUGAUGUAAAGCUCUAUCAGCAGGGAAGAAAAUGACGGUACCUGAGUAAGAAGCCCCGGCUAACUACGUGCCAGCAGCCGCGGUAAUACGUAGGGAGCAAGCGUUGUCCGGAAUUACUGGGUGUAAAGGGAGCGUAGGCGGGAGGAUAAGUUGAAUGUGAAAUCUAUGGGCUCAACCCAUAGCUGCGUUCAAAACUGUUCUUCUUGAGUGAAGUAGAG
This 305-nucleotide ribosomal RNA is filed under the name uncultured bacterium. RNAcentral describes it as "bacterial SSU rRNA". It matches the Rfam family "Bacterial small subunit ribosomal RNA", at positions 332 to 656 of the family's 1533-position model. The record is from RNAcentral.